GGGUCGGUAGCUCAGCUGGUAGAGCAGUGCCCUUUUAAGGCAAUGGUCCCGGGUUCGAUCCCCGGCCGACCCA
This 73-nucleotide transfer RNA is filed under the name bacterium. RNAcentral describes it as "tRNA-Lys". It matches the Rfam family "tRNA". Rfam says of the family: Transfer RNA (tRNA) molecules are approximately 80 nucleotides in length. The record is from RNAcentral. RNAcentral also lists the same sequence under 1 other name.